Molecule: long non-coding RNA, 769 nt
Organism: Lonchura striata (white-rumped munia)
Lineage: Eukaryota; Metazoa; Chordata; Aves; Passeriformes; Estrildidae
Source: Ensembl
CCUCCGCCCGGAGCCCCCCCGGCCGCGCCGCCCGCCCGGCGCCCCCCCCGCCGCCCGGCAGCAGCAGCGCCUCAGACCCGCCACCCAUCGCUGGAUGUUCCUCCACUUUACCCACCGUAUCAAACAACUUUUACCAGUAAAUAUCGGUUUAUUCCUGAAACCAGAAGCCCUAAACAUACCUUUGUUUAUAAGUGCACUGGUGUACCAAGCCUCAGAACCACUGCUUUCUCCAGCUCAUAGGAUGCUUUUCCAGACUGUGGAUACGUGUAUGUGUACUGCUGUGUUGAUAAGUAAAUGCCAACGAUGGAGUUCGUUGCUUUUAUACAUCCCAAAGAGAAGUUCUCCACCGUUCACUGUCUGUUUUCUGACCGAAAAGGCGUGUGUUUGUGAACAGUGCUCACGCCAGCUCUGCCAUCCCACCCUCACAUCAGCUCACACCAAUGCCAGGAUGGGAGGAGUUGCCUGCGUACCUUCCCCAAAACACCCCGGGCCGCAGUGGCAUCGUCAGGGAGCAGUUCAAACCUGUGUCCUUUGGGCUUUGUGUAAAGCAAAUGCAGAGCAAGAAAAAUUGAGAUGUUAAAUCCAUUAGAAAACCAAUUCCUUAUUGUACAGUAGUAUGGAGAUCUCUAGUCAACCUGCCAUUAAUAAUAGAUUCUUAUUUUUUGAAUGAUCUAUUUAAAAGAACAGCAAGCAUUGUAUUUGCUAGUAAAUCUGAAGUGUUUACAUGGAAUUACUAAAUAAAUUAUUUGAUCUAAUAUGGCUCUUAUCA